RNAcentral lists this ribosomal RNA (484 nucleotides) under uncultured bacterium. RNAcentral describes it as "partial 16S ribosomal RNA". It matches the Rfam family "Bacterial small subunit ribosomal RNA", at positions 29 to 507 of the family's 1533-position model. The record is from RNAcentral.
AUUGAACGCUGGCGGCAUGCUUUACACAUGCAAGUCGAACGGCAGCGCGGGCUUCGGCCUGGCGGCGAGUGGCGAACGGGUGAGUAAUACAUCGGAACGUGCCCAGUAGUGGGGGAUAGCUCGGCGAAAGCCGGAUUAAUACCGCAUACGACCUGAGGGUGAAAGCGGGGGAUCUUCGGACCUCGCGCUAUUGUAGCGGCCGAUGGCAGGUUAGCUAGUUGGUGGGGUAAAGGCCUACCAAGGCGACGAUCUGUAGCUGGUCUGAGGGGAAGACCAGCCACACUGGGACUGAGACACGGCCCAGACUCCUACGGGAGGCAGCAGUGGGGAAUUUUGGACAAUGGGCGAAAGCCUGAUCCAGCAAUGCCGCGUGUGUGAUGAAGGCCUUCGGGUUGUAAAGCACUUUUGGCGGGAACGAAAAGGACUGUGCCAAUACCACGGUUCGAUGACGGUACCCGCAGAAUAAGCACCGGCUAACUACGUG